This 68-nucleotide transfer RNA is filed under the name Enterobacter sp. Its description in RNAcentral is "tRNA-Asn". It matches the Rfam family "tRNA". Rfam says of the family: Transfer RNA (tRNA) molecules are approximately 80 nucleotides in length. Lineage: Bacteria; Pseudomonadati; Pseudomonadota; Gammaproteobacteria; Enterobacterales; Enterobacteriaceae. The record is from RNAcentral.
CCCUUUGACAAGAGAACGGCGGACUGUUAAUCCGUAUGUCACUGGUUCGAGUCCAGUCAGAGGAGCCA